UGAAUUAGGACAUUUAUUUUGUAGCAAAAUAGGCGGUCCGUGCAGGGAUAAAUAGCAUCAUAUGUUUUUUAUAUAUAUAUACAUAGAUAGAUCCAUUUGUGAAAUCAAUUCUUUGCAUCAGUGAUAGACAGUGUCAUAAAGCUCUGGUCCAAACACAAAGCCAGAAUCAAACAAAGAGUCCAGGUGUGUUAAAGCAAUCGACAAUUAUUAAAGGAGAUCAAUAUAAAGUAGCUCCAAGCCUUUUAGCUUUCAAAACUCAUGCAGCUUCUCUGUGAGUCUCUAGGCUUUAGGAGGUGCUGGGUGGCGGCGGAUAGCAAGCAAGCAAGCAAGCAGACAAAGUCCAUAUGGUGCUACAUUUCCAAAAGCAUCUUGUUGUUUGAGAACGGCCCCGCCCCAACCCAUUCACAAAGUACAAAACACUUGAUCUUUCAGACACACAGCGCUCCCAGCACAAAACAACUCAUU
This is a long non-coding RNA of Syngnathus acus (greater pipefish), 465 nucleotides long. RefSeq lists it as uncharacterized. The transcript is spliced from 2 exons. The record is from RefSeq and is a predicted model, not a curated record. NCBI's taxonomy places the organism in Eukaryota, Metazoa, Chordata, Actinopteri, Syngnathiformes, Syngnathidae.